GGUAAAAUGGCCGAGUAGGCAUUAGACUGUAAAUCUGAGUACAGAGGUUGAGCCCUCUUUUUACCA
RNAcentral lists this transfer RNA (66 nucleotides) under Hipposideros pratti (Pratt's roundleaf bat). Its description in RNAcentral is "tRNA-Tyr". It matches the Rfam family "tRNA". Rfam says of the family: Transfer RNA (tRNA) molecules are approximately 80 nucleotides in length. Their secondary structure includes four short double-helical elements and three loops (D, anti-codon, and T loops). Lineage: Eukaryota; Metazoa; Chordata; Mammalia; Chiroptera; Hipposideridae. The record is from RNAcentral. RNAcentral also lists the same sequence under 1 other name.